UCCAGCACCAUCCUGGCAGGAGGGUGGCACUGACUACCUUCUGGAGUCCUCGCCAGGGUGACAAAUCCUGCGUCACAGAGCUGUGUUCAUACUGAUCAUUUGCCAUCACCCCCGACCCCGUCCCUCCACCCAGCAGCCUCAGGGCUCCACCCGCCCUGCCCCAGCCGUCACAGUCACCUGUCAGCCGGACCCCGCAGCUCCUGCGCUGCCCCCUAACUCAGGAGGCUGGGUGCCUCUCCAGGGAUGCACCUCACCCGCCUGUGACUCUGAGGACCCCUCUGCCCUCUCUGGAGGGGGAUACAUCCGCCUCAUUGGUGUCAGGCAUGGACACGUGGCCUUUUGGCCAGUGGAAUGUGGGGGGACUGCCGUUUGCCACACCCGACCAUCAGCUUCAGGAGUCGCCAGCGUCUCCACCGCAGCUCACUCUCACCCUUCAUCUGAGACAGAACGUCCCUGUGGAGCUGAUCCUGCCACCAGACUGAGAACAGCGACAGCCAGCCUGUUGCUGCCGACACGAAGUUUGAGCGAGGUGUGGCCGUGUGUGGGUGAAGGCUACGGAGGUGGGGCUGUCUGUUACCGCAGCCGAGCUGACCGAGACACAGGCAGGAUGAGCUUCAUCCGUGAUGCACUGACGCUUAUUCAAACUGACCUUAUCGCAGUGUGAUUUAUGGACAAUAACAUGCGCACGUUUCAGGUGGACAUUUCACCAUGUGAACCUGUGCCUUUGUGUCUCCAGUCAAGAUGCAGAACGUUUCCAUCUCUUCGUAUCUCUUUAAAAUCUGUUCUCCCCACCCCUCAACUCAGUCACUGAUGGAUUUCUAUCAUUAUAGGAUUAGUCUCGCCACUUUUGGAACUUCAUAUAAAUACAGUCACUG
This 875-nucleotide long non-coding RNA is filed under the name Equus caballus (horse). RNAcentral's name for it is "lncRNA (ENSECAG00000041356.2)". The record is from RNAcentral. Lineage: Eukaryota; Metazoa; Chordata; Mammalia; Perissodactyla; Equidae.